AAAUCAUAUAUAUUAAAGACCAAGAAAUGGUGACAAAAUAAUACAAAUAUUGUUAAAAAAAAUAAUUUAACCAGUUGCUAAUUAGUAUAAAGUGCUACAUGAGUAUAAAAACAUAUACAUUAACCUCAUUUAGUAGCCAAGAUAGUGAUGCACUUCUUACGAAACCUUACUCGUAUAAUGGAGGAAACAAACUACUCUUCAUGAUUGUCUCGAGAGCCAUCGAUCCUAAUUGUAAUUGCCUCAUUGGGAUCUAAAGUCGGGCCUUCCUUGACGAGUAAAUGUAGUGAAAGAAAUAUCACCAUCUACAUCCUUUUUUAGGCCAAUGAAUAGCAUUUGCAAACCUGGGAACACAAACCAGUAACAUCACUAUAAGAAAAUCUAGUGUAUAUAUAUAGUCAAAUUCAGUGAACAAAAUUAAAGUAUAUACAUACCACGUAAUAGGGAAACAAGUAUAAUAAAUAAAAUAAAGUGUGAUUUCUCAUUUUAUAACAAAUUAUAUAUUAUAUAAUGGUAAAAAAAAAUGUUGGUAUGAUUCUUAGUUACUUAAUUUAGACAAGGCAUAUGGAAUCAAAAUAGCUAAUGUACUUGGUUGGAACUUACCAGAUUCCACAAGACCCAUUAGAAUAAAUGUCUGCAUUAAAAAAAAUUAAGCCUACUGUCAAAAUAAAUUAUGGAUGUGUACAUGUAAAAUAAAUUUGAAUAGCAUAUAUAUAAAGGGUAAACAUAUGAAUAUUAUCCUUGCAAUUUGAUCUAUUUCCAAAAAAACAAUAAUAUGUUUGUAGUAUAAAACAAACCGGGCAUUUCACCUCACCCCUGUCUCAGACUCAACCAAAUAGUCGAAGUAUGUACAUCAAAAUUCAGUAUAUUGGUUGCCGAAUUGACAACUCUCAUUCACUAAUAAUUUCAUUGUGUAAUUUGUAAAAAUUAUAGAUAGAAGUUGGUUGACCAAACAAGCUGUUUAAAUUGUUCUUUUAUCUUGUCAAUCAAACUACUGAAGUUGUUGUAGUUGUUGUAGCAAACGAGCACCCUAGUCCAUACUCAGUCUAGAUCUAUUACCUAGCCCCUACAAAGUCUUGACUAAAACAAUAAACCAUGCAAGUCACAUUUAUCAUAAUUUAAGUCUCAACUAUAAGAUUGUCAGGAUAAAUCUCCAACAAAUAAAAACCAACAACUCCUUAAUAAGUCUCAUAGAGUACUAUUAUGAUACUCUAUAUUCAAUGGGGAUUGUCAUCCCCUGUUCAUUCUACGCCAUUCUCAAUACUUAAAUGUUUUUUUCUUCUUUUGUUUUACCCAAAUAAGUAUAAGUUAAGAAUACUAAUCUUCAUCUUUACCAAAAUUAGAAAAAAAAUGGAGAAAUGGAAAGGGGUGGUUAUAAACGUACCUCUGCCCUUCCCCAUUAUUGUAUCAUC
RNAcentral lists this long non-coding RNA (1409 nucleotides) under Erythranthe guttata (spotted monkey flower). RNAcentral describes it as "long non-coding RNA (EGUT_LNC002372)". Lineage: Eukaryota; Viridiplantae; Streptophyta; Magnoliopsida; Lamiales; Phrymaceae. The record is from RNAcentral.